GAUAGGGGAACGGAGGCUAAAAGCCAUCACGUACUGUGAUAACGCCUUCGACCAACAUCGUGCCGC
This 66-nucleotide small RNA is filed under the name Lysinibacillus xylanilyticus. Its description in RNAcentral is "Bacillaceae-1 RNA". It matches the Rfam family "Bacillaceae-1 RNA". Lineage: Bacteria; Bacillati; Bacillota; Bacilli; Caryophanales; Bacillaceae. The record is from RNAcentral.